GCUGCCAAGGGGGCGGCGGGAGCAGAAGCCGCCGCAGCCGUCCCGGAUUGGUCUGGGUGGGACGUACUAAACCCCCAAUUUCCCCCUCCUGCUUUGCCACCUUUGAGCCGGAGGACGGCGACAGCGGGGAGGGCGCCCCCAGGAGGGGAAAAAUGAAAUGCCCAAACCCACCGGGAAGGGAGGCGCCUCCUGCCUCGCUGCAAGUGACUGUCACAAACGGAGGGCGGGAAGCGCGUAGCUCAUGUCGCGCCGCCGAGUUUCUGGGGCUCUGAAGUGGAUUCCCUGGGCUGGAGUUCUGGGCGCAGCGAAACGUGGGGCGACCGAGAAGGAAAGGGACGGGCCAGCAGGGUGUGUGUAGCUAGUUAAGUUCGAUCACGAUACCUUUGAAGCUUUCACACACACACCCGCACACGCACUGUAUGGGGUAGCACAUUCCUCUGGAAGCUGUGGCUCUUCCUGCCAAAUAAUAUGCUGGCGGGGUGGGGUUGCGGUGGUGCCGAAAGGCAGGAGAAGGCAUGGGAAUGCAGGAGCCUCCCUAGGGAUUUCCUGGGGCUGCCUUUUUGCUGGAGCUGCGUCCGGAUAUGUAGACGGGGAGCGGACCUGUUCCUAGCACCCAGCUGCCCCCCCCUUUGCUGUUGGGCUAUGUAGCGCAGUUACUGAGGGCCAGUGAAAAGAAGUAGACAGGACAGUUGCAUGAAGAACAGAACCAAGACAUUACUUCUCACUCCUCACAACUUGGCUUUUUGAAGUAGCAACUCCUUUCACUCUGAUUGGCUUCAAUCAGCAGAAAAGAAGGAAGCAAGUCAGAAACCUCUUCUCACACUUCCCUUUCAUGCUGAUUGGCUCACAGGACACUGGAGACAUAACAACCCUGCUGUGACCUGGCUCCCAAAAAAGUAACGGGUCUAAGAUCCCUGAGACUCUGGAUGACCACACUGGUUAAUAUAAUUAAGCCAUGGUUUAGAGGUUUUAUUACAAACAAGUAAUAUAUACAGUUUGUUAAAUAAAUAAAAUAAAAGAUAAAUACAAUAAACCCAUAAGCAUUACAUGGGAAGGAUAUUCUGAUCUCAUCCACCCUGGUGCAAAAAGUUGGUGCAAAAGUUGAGCCUUAACCUGAUGUUGAAAUUUAUACAAUGACAAGGCCAUACACACUUAUGCUAGAAGUCAUAUCAAGAACACUUUCACACCAGUCUCAAAUCAUGACACCUUUAUUGAUAAAAAUAUAAAAGGACACAAAUAGGUGAGCAGGUCUAUAUUGUUUAGGUUUGUCUACAAGUGGAAAGAAAACCUUUUUGGAAAAAAAUGUUCUAGGACAAAUUUAAUUAACAUGUUUAGAAAUGAUUUUGUAUUCUUAUGUAUGUUUUUAAAAUACAAAGUGAAAUUACAA
Molecule: long non-coding RNA, 1387 nt
Organism: Rhineura floridana
Lineage: Eukaryota; Metazoa; Chordata; Lepidosauria; Squamata; Rhineuridae
Exons: 3
Source: RefSeq, a predicted model, not a curated record